UUUGAAGGAUCCAGUAGCAACUUGUCGUCACAGCAAGUUGUUCAGGAUUAGAAUCUCAAAUUCUUGAAUGAUUACCCUACGCAUUGCAGGACAAAGCUAAUUGCAAUCCAUCAAGAGAUGACAUUUGAAGUAGUAAGUUGUCAUCACAGCAAGUUUUUCUCGUAAUGCUUAUACCAUUUUCUUUCCCCUUUUUUCCCACCUUAUGCUACAGAUAUAUGAGAUACCAUUUUUGAUACCGCUC
RNAcentral lists this unclassified non-coding RNA (241 nucleotides) under Hevea brasiliensis (rubber tree). Lineage: Eukaryota; Viridiplantae; Streptophyta; Magnoliopsida; Malpighiales; Euphorbiaceae. The record is from RNAcentral.